RNAcentral lists this ribosomal RNA (118 nucleotides) under Helianthus annuus (common sunflower). Lineage: Eukaryota; Viridiplantae; Streptophyta; Magnoliopsida; Asterales; Asteraceae. The record is from RNAcentral.
GGUUGCGAUCAUACCAGCACUAAUACACCGGACCCAUCAGAACUCCGUUGUUAAGCGUGCUUGGCGAGAGUAGUACUAGGAUGGGUGACCCUCUGGGAAGUCCUCGUGUUGCAACCCC